Molecule: ribosomal RNA, 828 nt
Filed under: uncultured fungus
Lineage: Eukaryota; Fungi
Description: SSU rRNA
Rfam family: Eukaryotic small subunit ribosomal RNA
Source: RNAcentral
GUGCCAGCAGCCGCGGUAAUUCCAGCUCCAAUAGCGUAUAUUAAAGUUGUUGUGGUUAAAAAGCUCGUAGUUGAACCUUGGGCCUGGCUGGCCGGUCCGCCUCACCGCGUGCACUGGUCCGGCCGGGCCUUUCCCUCUGUGGAACCCCAUACCCUUCACUGGGCGUGGCGGGGAAACAGGACAUUUACUUUGAAAAAAUUAGAGUGCUCCAGGCAGGCCUAUGCUCGAAUACAUUAGCAUGGAAUAAUAAAAUAGGACGCGCGGUUCUAUUUUGUUGGUUUAUAGGACCGCCGUAAUGAUUAAUAGGGACAGUCGGGGGCAUCAGUAUUCAACUGUCAGAGGUGAAAUUCUUGGAUCAGUUGAAGACUAACUACUGCGAAAGCAUUUGCCAAGGAUGUUUUCAUUAAUCAGGAACGAAAGUUAGGGGAUCGAAGACGAUCAGAUACCGUCGUAGUCUUAACCAUAAACUAUGCCGACUAGGGAUCGGACGGUGUUAUUCAUGACCCGUUCGGCACCUUACGAGAAAUCAAAGUGCUUGGGCUCCAGGGGGAGUAUGGUCGCAAGGCUGAAACUUAAAGAAAUUGACGGAAGGGCACCACCAGGGGUGGAGCCUGCGGCUUAAUUUGACUCAACACGGGGAAACUCACCAGGUCCAGACACAAUAAGGAUUGACAGAUUGAGAGCUCUUUCUUGAUUUGUGGUGGUGUGCAUGGCCGUCUAGUGUGGGUGACUGUCUGCUUAAUGCGAUAACGAACGAGACUAACCUGCUAAAUAGCCCGCAUGCUCCGGCAGUGCGCUGGCUUCUUAGAGGACUUCGGCUUCAAGCCG